Molecule: ribosomal RNA, 701 nt
Filed under: Naganishia friedmannii
Lineage: Eukaryota; Fungi; Basidiomycota; Tremellomycetes; Filobasidiales; Filobasidiaceae
Description: eukaryotic LSU rRNA
Rfam family: Eukaryotic large subunit ribosomal RNA
Source: RNAcentral
GGAUGGCCCUGUUGCAGGACUAAAGACCGCUUUCUAAUCCAUUGAUCUUCGGAUUAAUAUUCAUAACAUCUGGCCUCAAAUCAGGUAGGACUACCCGCUGAACUUAAGCAUAUCAAUAAGCGGAGGAAAAGAAACUAACAAGGAUUCCCCUAGUAACGGCGAGUGAAGCGGGAAGAGCUCAAAUUUGAAAUCUGGUAGCCUUCGGUUGCCCGAGUUGUAAUCUAGAGAAGUGUUUUCCGCGUUGGCCCAUGUACAAGUCCCUUGGAACAGGGCGUCAUAGAGGGUGAGAAUCCCGUCCUUGACAUGGACCCCCAAUGCUUUGUGAUACACUUUCAACGAGUCGAGUUGUUUGGGAAUGCAGCUCAAAAUGGGUGGUGAAUUCCAUCUAAAGCUAAAUAUUGGCGAGAGACCGAUAGCGAACAAGUACCGUGAGGGAAAGAUGAAAAGCACUUUGGAAAGAGAGUUAAACAGUACGUGAAAUUGUUGAAAGGGAAACGAUUGAAGUCAGUCAUGCUCUUUGGAUUAAGCCGUUCUGCGGUGUAUUUCAUUGAGCGGGGUCAACAUCAGUUUUGAUCGCUGGAAAAGGGCAGGAGGAAGGUAGCACUCUCGGGUGAACUUAUAGCCUCUUGUCGUAUACAGUGAUUGGGACUGAGGAACGCAGCAUGCCUUUUGGCCGGGAUUCGUCCACGUACAUGCUAGGA